Long non-coding RNA from Lotus japonicus, 1021 nucleotides. RefSeq lists it as uncharacterized. The record is from RefSeq and is a predicted model, not a curated record. Lineage: Eukaryota; Viridiplantae; Streptophyta; Magnoliopsida; Fabales; Fabaceae. The transcript is spliced from 3 exons.
UAUAUAUAUGGAAUUAAUGUUGGUAUCCUUUAAAUAAGUCUUCUCUCAUGCAGCAUCUGCACCUGCUGUCAUUAAACCAGUAAAAUCCACAGGAAAGGUUGAAAACAAGAGGAAUAAAAUCCUGGGUGAUGAGCACAUCAAGGGCAGCAAUACAUUAUUUUGAUGGUCAAAUAAAUUUAUGUUGCAGGAGGUAGACUUGUAACUUGGAAGAAUUCAGAGAAAGUAAUGCCUGAGUUACUUGGAUGAUACCUUUAAUUUUCUUAAAAGCUAAGCCUCAUCAACUGCAUGAGUAGAAGAGAAAACAACAUCCGCAGAGGGAAAGGUAGACCAUUUUGUCAGGUUUGUUUUACAAAUUUAUCUUCCUUUAUGACAAUCUUAUCUUUUCUAAUGUUUUAAUUGUGUUCACAUUCUCCCAAUGGCUGAUCAUUAAACUUAAUGUGCUAAAGACCAGCCAAUGAGUUAUUAUUAUCCUUUUAAUGCAGUUCAAAUGGAUGAAUAUACCAUGGAGCUUAAUUAUUGUUCUUUUAUGUACUUCAAUCAUGGUAGACUCUUAGCCAAUAUUGGUAUGACCUUGGGAUUUUUUGUGGCAUAUAUAAGUGUUGUUGCUGCUUCUGUUGCUCUUGUGUUUUGUUCUGUCACCCACUGUAUGCGUGAGAAGAGGAUGUUGUGUUGUGUUGUUCUUCUAUUCCUUGGUGGCGCUGCUCUUGCGUUUUGUUUCUGCGUUUUGUUCUGAUGCCCCUGCACCCUGCCUAGAGCUGAUGGUUUAUGCAGAUGAUCUUUCUUUCCCUCUGCACUUUCUGGAGCUGUUUUUGGUUCUUUUGCUCGUGGUGAUGGUGCAGUCUAUGCGAUAGCUGUGUUCGUGUUGUUCUUCUAUGUUUCAAUUCAAUUUGCUGGACCUGUUGUGCGACAAAUAGAUUGGAACUUGGUAGUCUUAUAUUGGGUUACGAACAACUGAUUUUAAAUUAUGAUUUCUAAAAAAUGCACUAUUAGCAGUGGUUGAAACAACAACCGAGUAUUUAAA